This 498-nucleotide ribosomal RNA is filed under the name uncultured bacterium. RNAcentral's name for it is "partial 16S ribosomal RNA". It matches the Rfam family "Bacterial small subunit ribosomal RNA", at positions 899 to 1397 of the family's 1533-position model. The record is from RNAcentral.
ACUCAAAGGAAUUGACGGGGGCCCGCACAAGCGGAGGAACAUGUGGUUUAAUUCGAUGAUACGCGAGGAACCUUACCCGGGCUCGAACGGUGCAGGAAUAUGGAUGAAAGUUCAUAGCUAGCAAUAGUCUGUAUCGAGGUGCUGCAUGGUUGUCGUCAGCUCGUGCCGUGAGGUGUCGGCUUAAGUGCCAUAACGAGCGCAACCCUUACCGUUAGUUACUAACAGGUCAUGCUGAGGACUCUAGCGGGACUGCCGCCGUAAGGUGAGAGGAAGGUGGGGAUGACGUCAAAUCAGCACGGCCCUUACGUCCGGGGCGACACACGUGUUACAAUGGGGGGGACAAAGGGCAGCUACACAGCGAUGUGAUGCAAAUCUUCAAACCCUCUCCCAGUUCGGAUUGGAGUCUGCAACUCGACUCCAUGAAGCUGGAUUCGCUAGUAAUCGCGCAUCAGCCAUGGCGCGGUGAAUACGUUCCCGGGCCUUGUACACACCGCCCGU